GGCACUACGGUGCUGAAGCAACAAAUGCCCUGCUUCCAGGAAAAGCCUCUAAGCAUCAGGUAACAUCAAAUCGUACCCCAAACCGACACAGGUGGUCAGGUAGAGAAUACCAAGGCGCUUGAGAGAACUCGGGUGAAGGAACUAGGCAAAAUGGUGCCGUAACUUCGGGAGAAGGCACGCUGAUAUGUAGGUGAAGUCCCUCGCGGAUGGAGCUGAAAUCAGUCGAAGAUACCAGCUGGCUGCAACUGUUUAUUAAAAACACAGCACUGUGCAAACACGAAAGUGGACGUAUACGGUGUGACGCCUGCCCGGUGCCGGAAGGUUAAUUGAUGGGGUCAGCGCAAGCGAAGCUCUUGAUCGAAGCCCCGGUAAACGGCGGCCGUAACUAUAACGGUCCUAAGGUAGCGAAAUUCCUUGUCGGGUAAGUUCCGACCUGCACGAAUGGCGUAAUGAUGGCCAGGCUGUCUCCACCCGAGACUCAGUGAAAUUGAACUCGCUGUGAAGAUGCAGUGUACCCGCGGCAAGACGGAAAGACCCCGUGAACCUUUACUAUAGCUUGACACUGAACAUUGAGCCUUGAUGUGUAGGAUAGGUGGGAGGCUUUGAAGUGUGGACGCCAGUCUGCAUGGAGCCGACCUUGAAAUACCACCCUUUAAUGUUUGAUGUUCUAACGUGGACCCGUGAUCCGGGUUGCGGACAGUGUCUGGUGGGUAGUUUGACUGGGGCGGUCUCCUCCUAAAGAGUAACGGAGGAGCACGAAGGUUGGCUAAUCCUGGUCGGACAUCAGGAGGUUAGUGCAAUGGCAUAAGCCAGCUUGACUGCGAGCGUGACGGCGCGAGCAGGUGCGAAAGCAGGUCAUAGUGAUCCGGUGGUUCUGAAUGGAAGGGCCAUCGCUCAACGGAUAAAAGGUACUCCGGGGAUAACAGGCUGAUACCGCCCAAGAGUUCAUAUCGACGGCGGUGUUUGGCACCUCGAUGUCGGCUCAUCACAUCCUGGGGCUGAAGUAGGUCCCAAGGGUAUGGCUGUUCGCCAUUUAAAGUGGUACGCGAGCUGGGUUUAGAACGUCGUGAGACAGUUCGGUCCCUAUCUGCCGUGGGCGCUGGAGAACUGAGGGGGGCUGCUCCUAGUACGAGAGGACCGGAGUGGACGCAUCACUGGUGUUCGGGUUGUCAUGCCAAUGGCACUGCCCGGUAGCUAAAUGCGGAAGAGAUAAGUGCUGAAAGCAUCUAAGCACGAAACUUGCCCCGAGAUGAGUUCUCCCUGACCCUUUAAGGGUCCUGAAGGAACGUUGAAGACGACGACGUUGAUAGGCCGGGUGUGUAAGCGCAGCGAUGCGUUGAGCUAACCGGUACUAAUGAACCGUGAGGCUUAACCUUACAACGCCGAAGGUGUUU
Molecule: ribosomal RNA, 1394 nt
Filed under: Escherichia coli
Lineage: Bacteria; Pseudomonadati; Pseudomonadota; Gammaproteobacteria; Enterobacterales; Enterobacteriaceae
Description: partial 23S ribosomal RNA
Rfam family: Bacterial large subunit ribosomal RNA
Source: RNAcentral